GAUGAACGCUGGCGGCGUGCUUAACACAUGCCAGUCGAACGGAAAGGCCCAAGCUUGCUUGGGUACUCGAGUGGCGAACGGGUGAGUAACACGUGGGUGAUCUGCCCUGCACUUCGGGAUAAGCCUGGGAAACUGGGUCUAAUACCGGAUAGGACCACAUUUUGGAUGGUGUGGUGGAAAGUUUUUCGGUGUGGGAUGAGCUCGCGGCCUAUCAGCUUGUUGGUGGGGUAAUGGCCUACCAAGGCGUCGACGGGUAGCCGGCCUGAGAGGGUGUACGGCCACAUUGGGACUGAGAUACGGCCCAGACUCCUACGGGAGGCAGCAGUGGGGAAUAUUGCACAAUGGGCGCAAGCCUGAUGCAGCGACGCCGCGUGGGGGAUGACGGCCUUCGGGUUGUAAACUCCGUUCGCUAGGGACGAAGCGUUAUGUGACGGUACCUGGAGAAGAAGCACCGGCUAACUACGUG
This 466-nucleotide ribosomal RNA is filed under the name uncultured bacterium. RNAcentral's name for it is "partial 16S ribosomal RNA". It matches the Rfam family "Bacterial small subunit ribosomal RNA", at positions 28 to 507 of the family's 1533-position model. The record is from RNAcentral.